UACGGGGGGGGCAAGCGUUGUUCGGAAUCACUGGGCGUAAAGCGCACGUAGGCGGGUGUGUCAGUCAGGGGUGAAAUCCCGGAGCUCAACUUCGGAACUGCCUUUGAUACAGCACAUCUGGAGUCCGGAAGAGGUGGGUGGAAUUCCUAGUGUAGAGGUGAAAUUCGUAGAUAUUAGGAAGAACACCGGUGGCGAAGGCGGCCCACUGGUCCGGUACUGACGCUGAGGUGCGAAAGCGUGGGGAGCGAACAGG
This 253-nucleotide ribosomal RNA is filed under the name uncultured bacterium. RNAcentral's name for it is "partial 16S ribosomal RNA". It matches the Rfam family "Bacterial small subunit ribosomal RNA", at positions 524 to 776 of the family's 1533-position model. The record is from RNAcentral.